GCCUUCGUAGCUCAGGGGAUAGAGCACCGCUCUCCUAAAGCGGGUGUCGCAGGUUCGAAUCCUGCCGGGGGCA
This is a transfer RNA of Streptomyces alboflavus, 73 nucleotides long. It matches the Rfam family "tRNA". Rfam says of the family: Transfer RNA (tRNA) molecules are approximately 80 nucleotides in length. Their secondary structure includes four short double-helical elements and three loops (D, anti-codon, and T loops). Further hydrogen bonds mediate the characteristic L-shaped molecular structure. tRNAs have two regions of fundamental functional importance: the anti-codon, which is responsible for specific mRNA codon recognition, and the 3' end, to which the tRNAs corresponding amino acid is attached (by aminoacyl-tRNA synthetases). tRNAs cope with the degeneracy of the genetic code in two manners: having more than one tRNA (with a specific anti-codon) for a particular amino acid; and 'wobble' base-pairing, i.e. permitting non-standard base-pairing at the 3rd anti-codon position. The record is from Rfam. NCBI's taxonomy places the organism in Bacteria, Bacillati, Actinomycetota, Actinomycetes, Kitasatosporales, Streptomycetaceae.